This is a non-coding RNA of Fundulus heteroclitus (mummichog), 416 nucleotides long. NCBI's taxonomy places the organism in Eukaryota, Metazoa, Chordata, Actinopteri, Cyprinodontiformes, Fundulidae. The record is from the annotation of a RefSeq genome assembly.
UCACCUUCAGCACCAACAUGUUUUCUGUAGCUCUGCUGCUGCUAGUAGCUGGAUCCUGUGUGAAGUGUGAACAGCUGACACAGCCAGCCUCUAUGAAUGUGCAGCCAGGUCAACAUCUGACCAUCAGCUGUCAGGUCUCUUAUUCUCUGAGCUACUGGACAGCUUGGAUCAGACAGCCUGCAGGGAAAGGACUGGAGUGGAUUGGGAUGAACGACAAUGGUGGAAAUUCAUACUACAAAGAUUCACUGAAGAACAAGUUCAGUAUAGACGUAGACACCUCCAGCAGCACAGUGACUCUAAACGGACAGAAUAUGCAGCCUGAAGACUCUGCUGUGUAUUACUGUGCUAGAGUAGACGACAGUGACACAGUGACACAAACCAGCAGCAGAGCUGUACAAAAACCCCUCAGAGCCUGA